UACGGAGGAUCCAAGCGUUAUCCGGAUUCAUUGGGUUUAAAGGGUGCGUAGGCGGAAUGAUAAGUCAGUGGUGAAAUCCUUCAGCUUAACUGAAGAACUGCCAUUGAUACUGUCAAUCUUGAGUACAUUUGAUGUGGGCGGAAUGUGUCAUGUAGCGGUGAAAUGCUUAGAUAUGACACAGAACACCGAUUGCGAAGGCAGCUCACAAAACUGUAACUGACGCUGAGGCACGAAAGCGUGGGGAUCAAACAGG
This 253-nucleotide ribosomal RNA is filed under the name uncultured bacterium. RNAcentral describes it as "partial 16S ribosomal RNA". It matches the Rfam family "Bacterial small subunit ribosomal RNA", at positions 524 to 776 of the family's 1533-position model. The record is from RNAcentral.